UACAGGAAGUAUUAUAAAGGGCCAUGAAGUGAAUUAUGAGGAUAUAUGUAAUCUAAACCAACAGUGUGACUUUCAGGGUUUAUGAUUAUCCAAGCCAACACACACACAAAUGCUUUUAGCAGAAUAAUAUUUAAAAAGGAGAUUUUCUUUGCAACACAGAAGCCUUUGACCCUAAUAUUUCACUUAAAAACUCAUCAGACUGUCGCGUGCGUUAGGUGCUUCUCUCCAAACCAGACUAAUCUGCUGCAAAAAGUCAUCCAAGUCUGGCACCUUCGACCCAGACACUGUCUACAUAGCAAAAAUAAUAUUACCAAUUCUAAAAGCAAUAGUUAGAGAAAUAGAGAAAUAGACACACGACUCCAUUUUGCAUGAUUAGGGCUCCUGUGAUGGCAGGGGAAAUAUGAGGAUAAGAAUGGGAUGCCAUAAAUAUCAAGGUUUUUUUUUUAUUAUUAUUAUUUACACCAGUUAUUUUCAACACUCAGGAUAUUUCACUCUCUCAGAAUGACCCUGAACACAGUCUCUGUAUCCUAAACAUUUAUUUCCUAAACAAUUGCUCGUGUCAGUCUUAGAAAUUGAAAUGAACACAAUGUUUCAUGUUGGAAUUGUUGCAUCGCUGCAGAUUUCCUAAGGCUCGGUCCGAGCAUUGGAAUUAAAAUGAGAUCCCGCCGAGAAUUUAAGCUUUCCUCUGAUUGGUCAUUCAAGGCUCUCGACCAAUCAGGGACGAAGAUAUUACAACGUAAACAAAGGAAGCGGUAUGUCAACAAAGCAGCGGCUGUGCAGCAGUGAAUGCGGGUGAAGCAGCGGUUCACAAAGCAACUCCAUAGGCUAUGUUUUGCUUUAUAAUAAGUAUAAAAACUAUAAACAGUAACAUCGAAUCAGAGACAGCAAACAAAGAGGAAACAGUUUUUAUGACUGACGAGGUUUUUUGCAGAGCUGGAGGGUGAAAGUGAGGUAGAAUAAAUAACUGGAUUAUUGUACAUCUGAGGAAGACUAUUUUCUCCAGGAAAAGGAUCUCAAUCAGAUUGGGACAUAUAUAAUAUUUACAUGAGUGAGCAUUAUAGAAGGACUGAUUUUAAUUCAGAUAAGGAGCAAUUCCGACUAAGAAAUGCCGGCAUACCUUUCCUACACAAACUGGGUCCAGGGUCAUCACCUUCACGUUAAGUUCCUCCACCAGCACAACUCCAGCUCAGGUUUUGGGCGAGGAUGAAGAACCCAUGUGAUGUGAAAGAUCACUCUGAAAGAUGAAGAACCCAAGUCUUCUGGAUUUCCAACCAAAGCGAUUUCUGGGGCCACAGCUCAUCCCAGCAUUGCUGUUCUCACCACUCCAGUUGUUCCAACUGUUUUUAGCAGUUGUGCUGGAUAGAAGAAAGCAGCGACUGCAAAGGUGUUCAAAUGGGUUCCUCUGUCUGCCAGUGAGUUUGAAACUUUUCUGUCUGUUGUAAUAUAAUAUACUCUUGAUAAAAGCAGAGACUUCAGCAGAUUACUGCUCUUGAAAACAAAUUUCUUGACACCCAUUCCCCUCUUUGGUGAUGAUUUUAAAACAUUUUUUUUGCUCUUUUCUGGAACAUGUAUAUUUGUGAUCCUUAAGAGGAUGCAGAAAAUAUGAUGAAAAAAGAACCUCAGAAUGACAGAUUGUUCAAAAUUAAAUCUCCCUACACACAUAAGCAAUCAUGAUACUCUUCGUUCUUCCAUCCCAUCAGAGAACAGCUGAGUGCAUAGUGACAUCUAAAGCAAGAAAUGGAUCAAAACUGUAUAUGAAAACAACACCUGCUGAACUGGGCUACAAAUUAAUUGUUCUAUCAGCUUCAGCUAGUGGAUAUGCAAAUUUUUUUGUGUGUAAGGGAAAGCUAUCAUCUAAAAUGAUAAAGCCAGUUGACUGGAUAAUUCACUGCUAGGUGAAGGAUACAAGGUUAAGAUCUUCUAAAGAGUGCACUGAGAAGAACCAUCCACCGGUACAGGGGUGGAAAGCUGCUGUUUAUAAAGUAGAUGGACAUAAAGGAGAUGACUCUGCUCCACAACGCACAACACAAGACCUAUACAGGAAAUACAGAGUGAAACAGAGAGGUUUGGAAAAUGAAAAAUUAACAAGAGGAUUGAACUAGUACCAGUUUUCUAGUUCCUGCAGCAAUGAAAGACUAUAACAAGCACAUGGGCAGUGUUGAUUGGAUGAUAUAAUGUCCUGAGCAAAACAAAAUAGUGAAACAAGAUAUUCUUUCCCCAUCUUAUUGAUAUUGCCAUCAUCAACAGUUUCAUUCAUCAACAACUAGCCAAGUAACACACAAGACUCUCUCACACAGAAAGUCUUCAGGUAGAACCUAGUGCCUGAAUUUGCAGGCAUUGUAUAAUAUCUCCUCUAGUUGCCCAGCCAGCACAAAAAAGUGGUGCAUGCCUGUCUUCUUUUCAACAGAUGCUACAAACAGGUGGCAGGUAUGUGUGCUGUGCAGUGAGUUAGGUGAAAAUGACUACUGCAUACAUACUGCACAAAGUGCCAUGAGACAUCGUCAAUGCAAAGAGCAAUCGCUUUGAGCGCUUUCACAUAAUUAGACAUUAAAAAAAUGUGAAGUUCAGUGUCAAGGGUCCAUGUGUAACAUAAAUGUGGGUCGCAUGGUGGCAUAAGCAGGUAGUGUUGACACCAAACAACUCCAGGGUCUUAGUUUAGGUCCUGAGGUUGGGUUAUUGUCUGUUCUUCCCAUUUCCACUGGGUUCCCUGGUUUUCUCUCACCUGCAAAAAAAAAAAAAUAAUAAUAAUAAUAAGAGUAGGUAGAUUGGCCACUCUAAAUUAGCCCUAGAUGUGAAUGAGUGUGUGAAUGUGCGUGCAUGGUGUCCUGUAAUGGACUGGCGUCCCACUCAUGGUGGGAUAUGUCUCAACACAUCUCAAGAUAUAUCCCGGAUCUGCUGCGACCCUCACAAAGCACUUACUGAGGAUGAAUGAACCUAAGUGUGACAUAACAAAAAAAAAAGUUUCCUGCCUCUAUUUAGAUUUGCUAAUUAGUCUGCACUGAUGGACUAAACACUUGCACAAAAGUAUGUUAAAGUUGAUGCUUGUAGCCGUUUACCACUGUGCUAAAUCUUUAAAUGUUCCAGUUUUUCACCAUGAAAGAGGUGUUUCAUGUUUGUUCAUGUUCAAAAUUGGUUCAGAUCUGAAACCAAAAAGCCAAAUUGCUUUUGGUCUACAACCAAGAGCUGGUAACAUCAGGGGCUUGGGGGCUGUGCAAUUUUUCCCUCCAUUUAAUGGCAAUUUAAUGGUAGAUGUGUAAAAUUAUUUACAUUUAAAUAAGACAAACAGAGAUUAAAAUUGUUGUUGGAAAUAUUUCAAAAGGAAUACUAAUAUUAACAAUUUUACUAGCAAUUGCAAAAUACUGAAUGGGUGAUACGAUGCUAUAACUAAUAAAACUUACUAUACACUCAAAAAUAGGUACUUGUAAAUUUCCUUGUGACUAAGGGGUACCCUCAAAGGCACAUCUUUUAUGUAUGCAAUAUGUAUCUUUCAUCUCAAAAGCUGGAUAUAAUGUACCUUGAAAAAUGAUUAAAGCUAUAUAUGUA
Pangasianodon hypophthalmus (striped catfish) is the source of this 3543-nucleotide long non-coding RNA. RefSeq lists it as uncharacterized. The transcript has 2 exons. Lineage: Eukaryota; Metazoa; Chordata; Actinopteri; Siluriformes; Pangasiidae. The record is from RefSeq and is a predicted model, not a curated record.